RNAcentral lists this ribosomal RNA (1353 nucleotides) under uncultured bacterium. RNAcentral describes it as "bacterial SSU rRNA". It matches the Rfam family "Bacterial small subunit ribosomal RNA", at positions 28 to 1381 of the family's 1533-position model. The record is from RNAcentral.
GACGAACGCUGGCGGCGUGCUUAACACAUGCAAGUCGAACGGAAAGGCCCUGCUUUUGUGGGGUGCUCGAGUGGCGAACGGGUGAGUAACACGUGAGUAACCUGCCCUUGACUUUGGGAUAACUUCAGGAAACUGGGGCUAAUACCGGAUAGGAGCUCCUGCUGCAUGGUGGGGGUUGGAAAGUUUCGGCGGUUGGGGAUGGACUCGCGGCUUAUCAGCUUGUUGGUGGGGUAGUGGCUUACCAAGGCUUUGACGGGUAGCCGGCCUGAGAGGGUGACCGGCCACAUUGGGACUGAGAUACGGCCCAGACUCCUACGGGAGGCAGCAGUGGGGAAUAUUGCACAAUGGGCGGAAGCCUGAUGCAGCAACGCCGCGUGCGGGAUGACGGCCUUCGGGUUGUAAACCGCUUUCGCCUGUGACGAAGCGUGAGUGACGGUAAUGGGUAAAGAAGCACCGGCUAACUACGUGCCAGCAGCCGCGGUGAUACGUAGGGUGCGAGCGUUGUCCGGAUUUAUUGGGCGUAAAGGGCUCGUAGGUGGUUGAUCGCGUCAGAAGUGUAAUCUUGGGGCUUAACCCUGAGCGUGCUUUCGAUACGGGUUGACUUGAGGAAGGUAGGGGAGAAUGGAAUUCCUGGGGGGAGCCGUUGGAAUGCGCAGAUAUAAGGGAGGAACACCAGUGGGGAAGGGCGGUUCUUUGGGCCUUUCCCUACCGGUGAGAAGCGAAAGGCGUGGGGAGCGAACACGGCUUAGAUCCCCUGGUAGUCCCCGCUGUAAACGGUGGGUACUAGGUGUGGGGUCCAUUCCACGGGUUCCGUGCCGUAGCUAACGCUUUAAGUACCCCGCCUGGGGAGUACGGCCGCAAGGCUAAAACUCAAAGGAAUUGACGGGGCUCCGCACAAGCGGCGGAGCAUGCGGAUUAAUUCGAUGCAACGCGUAGAACCUUACCUGGGUUUGACAUGGAUCGGGAGUGCUCAGAGAUGGGUGUGCCUCUUUUGGGGUCGGUUCACAGGUGGUGCAUGGCUGUCGUCAGCUCGUGUCGUGAGAUGUUGGGUUAAGUCCCGCAACGAGCGCAACCCUUGUUCACUGUUGCCAGCACGUUAUGGUGGGGACUCAGUGGAGACCGCCGGGGUCAACUCGGAGGAAGGUGGGGAUGACGUCAAGUCAUCAUGCCCCUUAUGUCCAGGGCUUCACGCAUGCUACAAUGGCUGGUACAGAGAGUGGCGAGCCUGUGAGGGUGAGCGAAUCUCGGAAAGCCGGUCUCAGUUCGGAUUGGGGUCUGCAACUCGACCUCAUGAAGUCGGAGUCGCUAGUAAUCGCAGAUCAGCAACGCUGCGGUGAAUACGUUCCCGGGGCU